RNAcentral lists this long non-coding RNA (820 nucleotides) under Homo sapiens (human). RNAcentral's name for it is "HSALNT0139084". The record is from RNAcentral. Lineage: Eukaryota; Metazoa; Chordata; Mammalia; Primates; Hominidae.
CUCUACUCCAGGAUUGAUUAGCCUCCUUUAUUUUCCUGCUUCCUGGCUCAAUGGUGAGAAAACCAGAUAUCUUGAUGCUUUCCAGUUGGUAGGAAGGCAUCUCCUCUCAGGCGCAUUAUUGCUGUCAAAUGGUGAUUUUCUUAAAACCUUUUCCCUUCUUCCUCAACUCCACACACUCAUGGCCUUCUGGUCAUUCUUUGAAUAUUUUAUCCCACUCUCAGCAUCUUCACAUUCAUAGAGCUCUUUGUCUCAUCUCUCCAGGAAUGCCUUUUUUCAGGAUUUUCAGAAGACUUGGUUCUUCACACCACUCUUUAUUAGAGACCUGUAGUCUCCCAUUCUUUUCACUUUCUGUCUCUUGGCCAUGUCUGUUUACUUUCACAGCCCAGACAUUAUUUUCUGUAAUUAUUUGUUCAUUUGUUUACUUGUUUACUGUCUUCUCCACAUGAGUGUGUAAGAUUCAUAAGAACACUUUGCUUUGCUUUCUGCCUCUUCUCUGGUAUCUACAUUAGUGAUAGUAUGCUUGCUGAAUGAAAACAAGGAUACAUUUUCAAAAAUAUUACAAAUGUAUGUGUUUUCUAUCUUUUCCAGUGUCCUCCCACCACCAAUCCUUGACUCUACAAUUGAGGAGUUGUCAAUGGAAACACUGGUAAGACCCUUUUGUUUCCUUCCCCAUGGCAUCAGACCACCGUGUGGAAUGAGAAGAUAUUUUUUGGCCCUAGGAAUUUUUUUUUCAUUUUGUUUCUUUAUUCAUGAUCUCUUGCUAAAUUCCUUGAAAUAUGUGGCAGCAUGACCCUUUCUUACUUUCCAGUCCUAAGGCAGG